This 1274-nucleotide long non-coding RNA is filed under the name Homo sapiens (human). RNAcentral describes it as "HSALNT0383057". The record is from RNAcentral. Lineage: Eukaryota; Metazoa; Chordata; Mammalia; Primates; Hominidae.
CUCCUUUUUCUGUUUUCGCAUCAAUUCCACUUGGGUGCGCAAAUCUUUUUCUAGUUGCAAGAUGGUCGUCUCUCCUUCUUCCUGAAUAAGACAACGUACCACUGUUAUAAGAUUCCAAGUGAAUUCCUUCAGAGGAAGAGAAGGACAACAUAAGAAGGCGUGGAUGACAGACUUUCAGUUAAACUAACAAAGAAAGAACACUGCAGCACCAUCUAUGCCUACCUUUUUCUCAGCGUUUAUAAAAAAAAAUUCAUAUUCCCUACAAAGCAAAACUAUGGUAUAACAGGACAACUAAGACUGCCCUGGCACCAGAGAAACUACAAUCUAGAUGUGCUCUGCUUCCAGUCGGCCGAGAAGCCUGCAGCAAAUCACCUAAACACUUAAGGUCUUUGUGUGCCAUCCACACCCAACUGCAACUAGAGACUUUCAUUAGCCCCUUUCUGUCUCAGAGCUUUCGGUGGUUCUACAAGUCACCAGCCUGGAUCUCUAACAAUGUGUCUCUCCAAAGCUGUUAAUACAUUCACAUCCAAAAUAUCUCCAGCCACGAAAUCCUAGUUUAGAGGUUGCCCGUCCUUGUUGAAGAAACAUUUCUACACAAAUACCUGUUGCCUAUACCAGAUGGCCAUACCAAUACCCAAAUACUGACAAACGUUUAAAAGAAUUUACGGUACUCCCUUCACUUUAGAAAUGUUAACAGUUCAAGUCCAACAGAACUUAAAGGAAAAAAAGAGAAAUGUUAACAGUAAGUAAGGCAUUUAUUUAACAUAAUCUCAACUAAAGUCCAACUAAAGAGCUUCCCCAGGCAAACACUCCUUUUGCACUUCAUUUUGAAGACAAAAGAAUGCACAAGUUAAAAUCCUAAUAUUACCAUUUUAUUAAAAAUAACUUUUAAGAUCCAAUCUGUGGCCAAUAUUCGAUCUGGAUGCAAAACCCUGGCUUCCAGACAGGCCAGCCAGGGGCACUGCUCUGAAGGUCAUUACUUAAGUAUCCCAGUCUCCUCAGUCUGACAGACCUACCCCUGCCCAGCCAAUCUCCACAUAACAGCUAGUUGUUCAUAAUAAAUCCCAUCAGAUCCCCGCUUAACUACUCCCCUUCAAAGGCUCCACUGCCCUCAGGAAAUAGUUCAACCACCUUCUGUAGAAAGGCCUUCUAAAACCUCUCUCCGAGUCUGUCUGCUAAUCUCUCCCACUUGACACUCCCCAGGUCUCUGGCCAGCUGAACUUCCCGGGCAUUUCCUGAACAAUGCCCCUCAAUAAACCACAUGCAACUCUCAU